UUCUCUAUUCAUGUCCCAAACUUCCUUUUUUCUCUCUUCUUUCACAAGUCAAGAGACAAUGGUGAUGGAGAUACACAACCACUCCCAACGACGGUAAAUGAUGGAUUUCGUGCCCAAUAACAAUGAAGACCAGUUUUAAAGGUAAGAUGGUGGUAUUGAUGAUACUCAACAUCCCUAGCCCAACCUCCGGCGAUGGCGGCUAGGGUUCCGAUGAAGAUUCCAGUAAAACAUUUUCACUUGCAUGUUCUCUCUUUGUGUAAAUCGGUAGUGUUAAGAUAGUUCUGGAGCGCCGAUGGUGAUUGUUGCCGGUGGUACAAAUUUAUGAUUGUGCUUUUAAAAAUUUUAACUUAGACAAAAAAAAGACGAUAUUUAGCCUAUUUUUCUUUAUCUUAUGGUUUUGAAUUUGCAGCUUGCUAUUGUAGUAAUUUGUAAACACUAACGUGCAAAAUGCUUUUGUGUUUUUCAAUUU
Molecule: long non-coding RNA, 469 nt
Filed under: Helianthus annuus (common sunflower)
Lineage: Eukaryota; Viridiplantae; Streptophyta; Magnoliopsida; Asterales; Asteraceae
Description: sRNA HanXRQr2_Chr09g0395761
Source: RNAcentral